Molecule: ribosomal RNA, 492 nt
Filed under: uncultured bacterium
Lineage: Bacteria
Description: partial 16S ribosomal RNA
Rfam family: Bacterial small subunit ribosomal RNA
Source: RNAcentral
AGUGAACGCUGGCGGUAGGCCUAACACAUGCAAGUCGAACGGCAGCACAGUAAGAGCUUGCUCUUACGGGUGGCGAGUGGCGGACGGGUGAGGAAUACAUCGGACUCUACUUUUUCGUGGGGGAUAACGUAGGGAAACGUACGCUAAUACCGCAUACGACGUACGGGUGAAAGCAGUGGAUCUUCGGACCUUGCGGGAUUGGAUGAGCCGAUGUCGGAUUAGCUAGUUGGCGGGGUAAAGACCCAGCUAGGCGACGAUCCGUAGCUGGACUGAGAGGAUGGUCGGCCACACUGGAGCUGAGACACGGUCCAUACUCCUACGGGAGGCAGCAGACGGGAAUAGUGGACAAUGGGCGGAAGUCUGAUCCAGCCAUACCACGUGUGUGAAGAAGGCCUUCGGGUUGUGAAGCCCUUUUGUUGGUAAAGAAAAGCAGCAGGUUAAUACCCCGCUGUUCUGACGGUACCCAAAGAAUAAGCACCGGCUAACUUCGUG